AUGGAGAAAAUCAUAACCAAUUGGUGGUGUAAUAAACAUCGGGAUUUUCUCAGUUCUCAUGACAUUCGUUUGAGGACAAUAACGAUGGAAGGUUAUGCAUCCAAUCAGGCAAACAGAGACUUCGUCACAUUCUUCCUAUUUAAUGCGAGGUUACUAUUGUUCAUGGGGCUUAAGUUUUUCAACAAGAAAUUUCUCACAGAUGGAUAUGUUGGACAGCAAAAAAAGAAGAUUCGGGUCGACAAAUGGGCUUAUGAACGUGCUCGGCUUCUAUUUACAACAACUUGUCGUUAUAUGCGAGUAAACUUUUUGGCAUAG
This 315-nucleotide ribosomal RNA is filed under the name Triticum aestivum (bread wheat). RNAcentral describes it as "partial small subunit ribosomal RNA". Lineage: Eukaryota; Viridiplantae; Streptophyta; Magnoliopsida; Poales; Poaceae. The record is from RNAcentral.